Molecule: ribosomal RNA, 800 nt
Filed under: uncultured bacterium
Lineage: Bacteria
Description: bacterial SSU rRNA
Rfam family: Bacterial small subunit ribosomal RNA
Source: RNAcentral
GAGUAACACGUAGUUGACCUGCCCCUCAGCGGGGGACAACAGCUCGAAAGGGCUGCUAAUACCGCAUGAUUUUACAGUGACUAGAAGGCUGUAAAUAAACUUACGGGGCUGAGGGAGGGAGCUGCGGCCCAUCAGCUAGUUGGUAGGGUAGUGGCUUACCAAGGCGACGACGGGUAGGGGGCCUGAGAGGGUGACCCCCCACACUGGAACAGACAUACGGUCCAGACUCCUACGGGAGGCAGCAGUAAGGGAUAUUGGGCAAUGGGCGAAAGCCUGACCCAGCAACGCCGCGUGGAGGAUGACGGUUUUCGGACUGUAAACUCCUUUUGCACGGGACGAGGAAGGACGGUACCGUGCGAAUAAGUCUCGGCUAACUACGUGCCAGCAGCCGCGGUAAAACGUAGGAGGCGAGCGUUAUCCGGAUUUACUGGGCGUAAGGGGUGUGCAGGCGGGUCGUUAAGUGGUGCAUGAAAGCCACAGGCUCAACCUGUGGAGGAUGUGCCAGACUGGCGGUCUUGAGUGUGUGAGAGGGACGUGGAAUUCCGGGUGUAGUGGUGAAAUGCGUAGAGAUCCGGAGGAACACCAGAGGCGAAGGCGGCGUCCUGGCACACAACUGACGCUGAGACACGACAGCAUGGGGAGCGAACGGGAUUAGAAACCCCGGUAGUCCAUGCCGUAAACGAUGGAUGCUAGGCGCUGGACGGCUCAACCCGUUCGGUGUCGAAGGAAACCUGCUAAGCAUCCCGCCUGGGGAGUACGGUCGCAAGGCUAAAACUCAAAGGAAUUGACGGAAUCGAAUU